AGUGGUUAAGCUCUUGACUGCUAACUAAAAAGUGGUUAAGUGCUUGGCUGCUAACCAAAAGUUUGGUGGUUCCAACCCAUCAGCCACUC
This 89-nucleotide transfer RNA is filed under the name Loxodonta africana (African savanna elephant). The stretch from base 31 to 89 matches the Rfam family "tRNA". From Rfam's summary of the family: Transfer RNA (tRNA) molecules are approximately 80 nucleotides in length. Their secondary structure includes four short double-helical elements and three loops (D, anti-codon, and T loops). Further hydrogen bonds mediate the characteristic L-shaped molecular structure. tRNAs have two regions of fundamental functional importance: the anti-codon, which is responsible for specific mRNA codon recognition, and the 3' end, to which the tRNAs corresponding amino acid is attached (by aminoacyl-tRNA synthetases). tRNAs cope with the degeneracy of the genetic code in two manners: having more than one tRNA (with a specific anti-codon) for a particular amino acid; and 'wobble' base-pairing, i.e. permitting non-standard base-pairing at the 3rd anti-codon position. The record is from Rfam by way of RNAcentral. Lineage: Eukaryota; Metazoa; Chordata; Mammalia; Proboscidea; Elephantidae.